GGCCGCGGGAAUUCGAUUCAGGCCUAACACAUGCAAGUCGAGCGGUAGAGAGAAGCUUGCUUCUCUUGAGAGCGGCGGACGGGUGAGUAAUGCCUAGGAAUCUGCCUGGUAGUGGGGGAUAACGUUCGGAAACGGACGCUAAUACCGCAUACGUCCUACGGGAGAAAGCAGGGGACCUUCGGGCCUUGCGCUAUCAGAUGAGCCUAGGUCGGAUUAGCUAGUUGGUGAGGUAAUGGCUCACCAAGGCUACGAUCCGUAACUGGUCUGAGAGGAUGAUCAGUCACACUGGAACUGAGACACGGUCCAGACUCCUACGGGAGGCAGCAGUGGGGAAUAUUGGACAAUGGGCGAAAGCCUGAUCCAGCCAUGCCGCGUGUGUGAAGAAGGUCUUCGGAUGUAAAGCACAUUGAGUUGGGAGGAAGGGCAUUAACCUAAUACGUUAGGUUUGACG
This 451-nucleotide ribosomal RNA is filed under the name uncultured bacterium. RNAcentral describes it as "bacterial SSU rRNA". It matches the Rfam family "Bacterial small subunit ribosomal RNA", at positions 39 to 474 of the family's 1533-position model. The record is from RNAcentral.